RNAcentral lists this small RNA (28 nucleotides) under Bombyx mori (domestic silkworm). Its description in RNAcentral is "ovarian small RNA-22319". The record is from RNAcentral. Lineage: Eukaryota; Metazoa; Arthropoda; Insecta; Lepidoptera; Bombycidae.
UAGCAUUUUUGACAGGUCAUAAGAGCAA